This 523-nucleotide ribosomal RNA is filed under the name uncultured bacterium. Its description in RNAcentral is "bacterial SSU rRNA". It matches the Rfam family "Bacterial small subunit ribosomal RNA", at positions 355 to 896 of the family's 1533-position model. The record is from RNAcentral.
UGGGGAAUAUUGCACAAUGGGCGAAAGCCUGAUGCAGCGACGCCGCGUGAGUGAAGAAGGUCUUCAGAUCGUAAAACUCUGUCCUUGGUGACGAAAAAAAUGACGGUAGCCAAGGAGGAAGCCCCGGCUAACUACGUGCCAGCAGCCGCGGUAAUACGUAGGGGGCGAGCGUUGUCCGGAUUUACUGGGCGUAAAGGGUGAGUAGGCGGUUGUAUGUGUCAGAUGUAAAAGGCUAUGGCUUAACCAAGGUUAGCAUUUGAAACUGUACGACUUGAGUGCAGGAGAGGUAAGUGGAAUUCCUAGUGUAGCGGUGAAAUGCGUAGAUAUUAGGAGGAACACCAGUGGCGAAGGCGACUUACUGGACUGUAACUGACGCUGAGUCACGAAAGCGUGGGUAGCAAACAGGAUUAGAUACCCUGGUAGUCCACGCUGUAAACGAUGAGUGCUAGGUGUUGGCUAGCGAUAGUCAGUGCCGAAGUUAACACAAUAAGCACUCCGCCUGGGGAGUACGGUCGCAAGACUG